UACGGAGGGGGCUAGCGUUGUUCGGAAUGACUGGGCGUAAAGGGCGCGUAGGCGGCGGUAUAAGUCGGAUGUGAAAGCCCCGGGCUCAACCUGGGAGGUGCAUUCGAUACUGUAUUGCUUGAGACCGGGAGAGGUGAGUGGAAUUCCCAGUGUAGAGGUGAAAUUCGUAGAUAUUGGGAAGAACACCGGUGGCGAAGGCGGCUCACUGGACCGGAUCUGACGCUGAGGCGCGAAAGCGUGGGGAGCAAACAGG
This 253-nucleotide unclassified non-coding RNA is filed under the name uncultured Alphaproteobacteria bacterium. RNAcentral describes it as "contains 16S-23S intergenic spacer region". It matches the Rfam family "Bacterial small subunit ribosomal RNA", at positions 524 to 776 of the family's 1533-position model. Lineage: Bacteria; Pseudomonadati; Pseudomonadota; Alphaproteobacteria. The record is from RNAcentral.